GCCUGGGGCCUGGACGAGGGUUUUCCCCGGGUUCUUCGGAGCUCUGAGGUCACCGUGGGACUCGGGUGGAGGCUCUCCUGCGGUCACCUGGGGCC
This is a microRNA precursor of Equus caballus (horse), 95 nucleotides long. NCBI's taxonomy places the organism in Eukaryota, Metazoa, Chordata, Mammalia, Perissodactyla, Equidae. The record is from Ensembl.